AUCCAGUUGACGAGUCCUAAAUAGGACGAAACGCGCGUCCUGGAU
Molecule: non-coding RNA, 45 nt
Organism: Schistosoma mansoni
Lineage: Eukaryota; Metazoa; Platyhelminthes; Trematoda; Strigeidida; Schistosomatidae
Source: Rfam